RNAcentral lists this microRNA (23 nucleotides) under Apis mellifera (honey bee). RNAcentral describes it as "ame-miR-252b-5p". Its record names the gene ame-miR-252b-5p. Lineage: Eukaryota; Metazoa; Arthropoda; Insecta; Hymenoptera; Apidae. The record is from miRBase by way of RNAcentral.
UUAAGUAGUAGUGUCGUAGAUGA